This 155-nucleotide ribosomal RNA is filed under the name Tremella cetrariicola. RNAcentral describes it as "5.8S ribosomal RNA". It matches the Rfam family "5.8S ribosomal RNA". From Rfam's summary of the family: 5.8S ribosomal RNA (5.8S rRNA) is a component of the large subunit of the eukaryotic ribosome. Lineage: Eukaryota; Fungi; Basidiomycota; Tremellomycetes; Tremellales; Tremellaceae. The record is from RNAcentral.
AACUUUCAACAACGGAUCUCUUGGCUCUCGCAUCGAUGAAGAACGCAGCGAAAUGCGAUAAGUAAUGUGAAUUGCAGAAUUCAGUGAAUCAUCGAAUCUUUGAACGCACCUUGCGCCUUUUGGUAUUCCGAAAGGCAUGCCUGUUUGAGUGUCGU